CAGCCGCCGCGGUAAUACGUAGGUGGCGAGCGUUGUCCGGAAUUAUUGGGCGUAAAGGGAGCGCAGGCGGACAUAUAAGUCCAUCUUAAAAGUGCGGGGCUCAACCCCGUAAGGGGAUGGAAACUGUAUGCCUUGAGUGCAGGAGAGGAAAGCGGAAUUCCCAGUGUAGCGGUGAAAUGCGUAGAUAUUGGGAGGAACACCAGUGGCGAAGGCGGCUUUCUGGACUGUAACUGACGCUGAGGCUCGAAAGCCAGGGGAGCGAACGGGAUUAGAGACCCCCGUAGUCCCUGUCUCUUAUACA
This 301-nucleotide ribosomal RNA is filed under the name uncultured bacterium. Its description in RNAcentral is "partial 16S ribosomal RNA". It matches the Rfam family "Bacterial small subunit ribosomal RNA", at positions 509 to 809 of the family's 1533-position model. The record is from RNAcentral.